Trichosurus vulpecula (common brushtail) is the source of this 3618-nucleotide long non-coding RNA. RefSeq lists it as uncharacterized. The transcript has 2 exons. Lineage: Eukaryota; Metazoa; Chordata; Mammalia; Diprotodontia; Phalangeridae. The record is from RefSeq and is a predicted model, not a curated record.
AAGGUGGAUUAGCAGGGGGUGCCAGAGGGCAGAAGGGAGGAGGAAGGCCACCCCAGGCAUGGGGGACCACCAGGGCAAAGGAAUGCAGAUAGGAGACAGAGUGCUAGAUGUGAAGACCAGCUUAGCUGGACUUAAGGGUAUGGAAAGGAGAAGUGAUGUGUAAUACGGUUGGAGCAGCAGCAUGGGCCCACUUCCUUGCUUUUGUUCCUACCAGAGAAAGCCACAAGGUAAUUUCUGCAUCAUCUCCUGGCACCAGGGCCAUGACUAUAAUUAGCAUCCUCGUAGGACACAGGGUUUGGGCAUCAGCCCUCAAGGGAGAAGCGAGGCUAUGGACGUGCGGGGUGGGUGUGUACCUUGGAAACAGGGCUGCUGACGCAGGGAGCUCUUGAUCCCUUGGCAUCCCACCUUCGGGGCCAUGUGAGAUGCAAGGACUGUCAGAUUGUUGGCCUCUCCCCAUCACCCCUUCACCUGGUACUCGGGCUGUUAGAGCAGCUGGUGGCCUCAUUAACAGAAGGAAAACCCCUGGGGUUGUGUUCUGGUACACGGCCCCUCUGCUCCAUUCUGCAGUACAACAGCUGCCCCUGCUCGCAGUCAGAAUGCUGACAGUGUCUCUGGUGAAAUGGGAAUUCGAACCAUUAACAAUGACGUUUCCCCAGCACCCAGCAUUUUCCAUUCUUCCUUCCUGCCCAGACCAUAUUGAUCUUGCUCCUUGUCCCCUAAAGUGUCAUAGAUUCUAGUUGGAACGGACCUCAGAGGCCAUCCCACCUGACCCAUACCUAACACAGGGACCUCCUCUACAUGCCCAACAAGUGGUCAUCCAGGCUCUGCUAGAACACUUCCAGUGAAGGGCAACUCAUUGCUUUCUGAGGAAGUCCAUCCAGGGAGGUUUUAGGGAUUGCUCUAAUCGCUACAUAAUUGUGUUUAUGCUUCACAAGUUAGCACUUGAUUCCUGUCCACAAUUCCUGCCUUGAAUCACGUUGUACCUGUUUGUGAACUGGGCAUGGGAGAGAAGGAAGCCUUUACCACUUUGCCAUACCUCUUCUACUUUUUGCCACUAAGUAUUUUAGCUCCCCUUCUCAAUUUCUUCUUCCUUCCUUUCUUUCCUUCUUUCUUUUCCUUCCUUCCUCCCUCCCUCCUUCUCUCAGUUCUAUUGAUGCCUUUCGUUUUAAGUCCUCAUUUCCUGGCAUAUCCCCUCUCCCCCAGGGGAUUGUCCCUUGUGACAAGAAGAAACAAAACCAACUGAUAAUGGUGUACGCCACAUUCCACAGGCGGUCCACCGCCUCCACUGGGACACCCGGCUUGCCAACAAAAGCACUUUCCAUACAUUCAGGUGGCUGGAUGGCCUGGUGGAUGAGCGCUGGAUAUGGAAUCAAGGAAUCCUGAGUUCAAAUUCUGCCUCACUUUCUUAACCGUGUGACCCUGAGCAGAUCUCUUACCCUCCUUCAGCCAGAAGAUAUCCCUCCAAGAAGACAACAGUACCUACAGCCUGGGGUAGUUGUGAAGAUAAAAGAUUUCUUCUAAAGUGCUUUGCAAACCAUAAAGUUGUGCUUAUUACAUUAUCCAAUCUGCUCCUCACUUCAACCCUUUGAGUCUGGUAUCAAGCGCUGGUACCCCAAGUGUGGAGAUGAAGAGGAUCCCGGAGGGUUUGUGCCGUAUUCAAUGUCACGCAGCUACUAAAUGACGUUUCAGGGACCUGAAUGCAGGUCUUCUGACUCUACUUCUGGACGACUAUCCCUGAGUGGGAGGUUGGCAAGAGGCCUUAGGAAUCUAAGAGUCUUCCUUUCCCUUGCCUUGGAGCUGAGCUUCUGAAGCAUGAAGGACACACCAUCUAUACUGCCUCCGAAAAGGAAAAAGCUUUAGGCUCUCAGGGGUGAGCCAAUAAUGGAUCCGUUUGAUUCUGACUGGCAGGGACUUGGCCAUGGUGAUAUAGCAGUUAAUGGCAUAGCCAGGGCUGAGAACCGUCACCUCCUGGUUUGCUUUCCUUGGCCAACAAAACUUGUCUGGCUUUGAUCACCGCUCUAAUAAACUUAUUAUAGGCAUGAUCAAGGGAUUUGUGGAGGCAGCAAGGCACAGUGCCCUUUAUGUGGAGUCAGAGGGCCUGGUGCCUGGGUCAGUUGUGGGCUCUGAUAUUUACUGUCCAUGUGACCUUUGUGCAAGUCUCUGCACUUCAUCUGUAAAGUGAGGGAUUAAAGUUUGGCUUGUAGGGCCUCUUCUAGCUCUUUUUAAUCUACAAAGAUUAAAUUGAAUAAGGGUAUGUGUGAAAUCCUUCACAAGGUUUGAAAAAAAAUUAAACAAAACUAGAGGAUGGGGGAGAUAGGGUUGGAUAAUAGUCCAUGUGAAAAGGACCUGAAGGCCUUAGUGAACCCCUAGCUGAAGGAGUCAGUGGUGAGAUACCACCUCCUGCAAAACUAUGUGAUCCUAGAUGGUGCCAAUAGAACCAAAGUGUAUGGAACAAAGGUUAAUAGCACCAGUGUAUUUUACCCUGGGAAGACGGGCCCUGGACAAGGACCCAAAUACAGGCUCCAAUGGGUAUGUGACUGAACAUCCUGGAGGGCUGAUGGAGGGAGAUGACAACUGUACCACAAUCAUAAUAGUUAACAUUAAGUCCCUACUAUGCGCCAGGCACUAUGCUAAGUGCUUUAUACAAUUAUCUCACUUGAUCCUCACAAUGGGAGGUCCGUGUUACCAUUAUCUCCAUUUGACAGAUGAAGAAACUGAAGCAAAGAUCGAGGUUAAGUGACCUGCCUAGGACCACACAGCUAGCAAGUGUCUGAGGUUGGACCUGAACUCAGGUCUCCUGGAUUCCAGGCCCAGCUUGGGCACCCGUCACCAGCUCUCCAGGCAUUGUGCCACCUACUUGUCCCACUACUUGCUUCACAGGACUGCUGUGAGGAAAGCACUUUGUAGACCCCGAAAUGCUUUAUAUGUGAUUUUUAUUCUGGAUACCAAAUUUUAAAGAUGCUGGCAACCUGCUUCUAGAUGACCAUGGAUUACGAAGGGGGCUCAAAACAAUGUCAUCUGGCCAAACACUGGGGAUGUUCAGCUUGGAAAAGACCACUGCACUAACCUCCCAACUGGUCUUCUGGUCUUAGUUCUUUGUUCACCUCAGUCCAUUCUCCCAAAAAGCAGACAGGUUUCCCUGAUGAGCAGGGCUGAUCAGAUCACCCCACUUCUCAAUCACCUCCACAGUCUCCCUAUAAACUCUUGUUUGUGGGCAUCUGAGACCCUUUGCAAUCUGGCCCCUUACUACCUCUUCAGCCUCUUUACACAUUGCUCUCCUUCACACACAAUAUGGCCCCAUCAAAUGCUCUACUGGCCCUCUCAGCGGCAGGUGGUGUGGUGGAGAGAGCGCUAGGCCUGGAGUCCGGAAGACCAGAGGUCAAAUCUGGCCUCUGACACAGAAGAGCUGUGUGAACCUGGGCUAGUCCUUUCCUUCCAUUGUCCUGUUUGGGUUUCCAUCCCCCACCCAUGCCUCUGGACGGGCUUUCCUCCAUGCCUGUGAUGCAAACCUUCCCCUGCUCUGCUUGCAAUCCCUACUUUCCUUCUGAUUCCCCCUAGCUACUACUGCCUCCCGUAUCUCCCCUAAAACCAACAAAUAAAGCUAAAAUAGAAAUGCAA